Molecule: ribosomal RNA, 468 nt
Filed under: uncultured bacterium
Lineage: Bacteria
Description: partial 16S ribosomal RNA
Rfam family: Bacterial small subunit ribosomal RNA
Source: RNAcentral
GACGAACGCUGGCGGCGUGCUUAACACAUGCAAGUCGAACGGAAAGGCCCUGCUUUUGUGGGGUGCUCGAGUGGCGAACGGGUGAGUAACACGUUAGUAACCUGCCCUUGACUUUGGGAUAACUUCAGGAAACUUGGGCUAAUACCGGAUAGGAGCUCCUGCUGCAUGGUGGGGGUUGGAAAGUUUCGGCGGUUGGGGAUGGACUCGCGGCUUAUCAGCUUGUUGGUGGGGUAGUGGCUUACCAAGGCUUUGACGGGUAGCCGGCAUUAGAGGGUGACCGGCCACAUUGGGACUGAGAUACGGACCAGACUCAUACGGGAGGCAGCAGUGGGGAAUAUUGCACAAUGGGCGGAAGCCUGAUGCAGCAACGCAGCGUGCGGGAUGACGGACUUCGGGUUGUAAACCGCUUUCGCCUGUGACGAAGCGUGAGUGACGGUAAUGGGUAAAGAAGCACAGGCUAACUACGUG